Molecule: ribosomal RNA, 254 nt
Filed under: uncultured bacterium
Lineage: Bacteria
Description: partial 16S ribosomal RNA
Rfam family: Bacterial small subunit ribosomal RNA
Source: RNAcentral
UACGUAGGGGGCAAGCGUUGUUCGGAAUUACUGGGCGUAAAGGGCGCGUAGGCGGCCCGAGCAAGUCGGGAGUGAAAGCCCGGGGUUCAACCCCGGAACGGCUCACGAAACUGCGGGGCUCGAGUGCGGAAGAGGCAAUCGGAAUUCCCAGUGUAGCGGUGAAAUGCGUAGAUAUUGGGAAGAACACCGGAGGCGAAGGCGGAUUGCUGGGCCGACACUGACGCUGAGGCGCGAAAGCCAGGGGAGCAAACGGG